RNAcentral lists this microRNA (25 nucleotides) under Lottia gigantea (owl limpet). RNAcentral describes it as "Lgi-Mir-1992-P1_5p* (star (passenger))". The record is from RNAcentral. Lineage: Eukaryota; Metazoa; Mollusca; Gastropoda; Lottiidae.
CAGUCAGUGGAUGAUUGUUAUGAUG